AGUCCCGGCCGCCGGAUGGGCCCCCGCACUCCUAUACACACGUGCGCGCCCCAGCCGGGCUCCGCCCGCUCCCCGGCGCCGGGAUCGCGUCGGGCGAGAGGCUCCUGCUUCUCCGAGGGUCGCGCGGCCGCCAGGCGCCGGCUCGGGGCUUGCCGCCAACCUCCGGGUGUGGAGAGCCGCCCUCCCCGCCGCGCGGCCCUGGCCCGCCUCUGCCCUCCGUCCCCGGCGCUCGGCGCUCGGUACCGAACUCGGACAGCCGGGCGCCGCGCACCACCCCGCAACCCGAUCCCGCCCCCAGUCCCCACGAGUCGCGGUCCCUCCCGGCCGCCUGGCCGGCCCCCGGGAGGGGACAAGCCGCGCGAACGGGGAGGAAGUGGGGGAGCGCUGAGGACGCUCUCGCCACCCACCGUACUGUCCUCCCCAACCAAGCAUAUUAUUUCCUAAUCAGGUUUCCACACCUUUCAGGGUUGCAAAACCGCCAAAGGAGCAGAUUCCAUCACAGCGGGGCCAGGGGUGCGAUGAGAUUUGGGACCACAAUAUGGUGAGGGGUUUCCUGCUCCUGGUCUGAGAUUUUCAGAGCAGAGAGAGACCCAGAAGAAUUCUGCCAGGUCUAAAGGAACCCCCAGGGACGCCUGCGUGACUCAGUGGAUUAAAGCGUCUGCCUUGGGCUCAGGUCAUGAUCCCAGGGUCCUGGGAUGGAGCCCCCGCCCCUCCCCGCAUCAUUAGCUCAGCAGGGAGCCUGCUUCCUCCUCUCUCUCUCUGCCUGCCUCUCUGCCUGCUUGUGAUCUCUGUCAAAUAAAUAAAUAAAAUCUUAAAAAAAAAAAAAAAAAGGGGAGGAACCCCCAAACCCAUUCCUCUCUCCAGGAGCCGAAUUGCAGAGCCCAGCGCAUCCCUGUUUCCUGAGAAUCUCUCAGUGUUCAACCUGACCCCAUUGUACCAGGGCACCUUCCUUCUUUUUGUUGCUUCAACGCAGGUGCACUAGUCCCUGUGCCUCCGAGGUCCCCCGAAGGUCUUCACUAUGCGAUCGCCAUUUUGAGCGUCCCUCCACCCAGGCUGUAAUGCAGUCUUCAUAUUUGACCUUAUCACCUGCCUGUAUUCCAUUCUACUGUUUGUGUCAUGGGCCAAUAUCGUCCAGUCAUUAUAACGGGAAGCGUGAAAGGAAGAGCGGUUUAGGAGGUCCUAAGCAUCGGUGGCGCCUAACUGUCAUGAUCUCAGGGUCCCCCGGAUCAAGCCGCACAUGGGCUCUCUGCUCAGCAGGGAGUCUGCUUCUCCUCUGUCUCUGCCUGCUGCUCUGCCUACUUGUGAUCUCUCUCUGUGUAUCAAAAAAAUAAGUAAAAUUAAAAAAAAAAAAAGCCUCGAAUAGUAUCGUUGACAAGUUUUUGUUCCAAGAUUUUAUUUUUAUUUGUUUAUAUUUAUUUUUAAGCGGUCUCUACACCUAAGGUAGGGCUUGGACCACAACCCGCGAGAUCAAGAGUCGCUGGCUCCGCAGAUUGAGCCAGCCGGGUGCCCUGAUUGGGACAAAGUCAAAUGACACAAUGAAUCAUGGUUAUGAGCAGAAUCCUCUUCCCCUGCAAUUCUUAGGUGGAAGUCCCAACUUUGGGUCCUCAGGAUCUGACUGCAUUCAGAGAGAGGGUCUCUGAACAGGUGACUGAUAAAAAAAACGAGGCUGUUAGGGUGAGCCCUCACCAGUCUAAGUGGUGCCCUUGUAAGAAGGAAGUUGGACACGCAGAGACACAAAGACCAUGUGAGGACACAGCAAGAAGGCGGCCAUAUGCAAGCCAAGGCCAGAGGCCCUGGAGAAAACUAGAUCUGCCAACACCCUGAUUUUGGACUUGCAGAACUGUGAGAAAAUAAAUCUCUGUUGUUUAAGCCACCGAUUCCAUAGGAUUUAUGUAUAGCAGUCCUGGCAAGCUCAUACAACACCCUCUCCCCAGCCCUAAUCUGCGGAAGU
This is a long non-coding RNA of Mustela lutreola (European mink), 1951 nucleotides long. RefSeq lists it as uncharacterized. The record is from RefSeq and is a predicted model, not a curated record. NCBI's taxonomy places the organism in Eukaryota, Metazoa, Chordata, Mammalia, Carnivora, Mustelidae. The transcript has 4 exons.